AUCACUAAGCGGAGGAAAAGAAACUAACAAGGAUUCCCUCAGUAACGGCGAGUGAAGUGGGAAGAGCCCAGCACCGAAUCCCCUGCCUUUUGGGUAGUGGGAACUGUGGUGUUUAGGACAGCCUUUGGGGUGGGAUCUGGUGCCCGAGUCCUCCUGAUCGGGGCCUUUCCCAUAGCGGGUGUUAGGCCUCUACUGGCACCGGUUUCUGCCUCUCUGAGCGUCCUUGGAGUCGGGUUGUUUGGGAAUGCAGCCCAAAGUGGGUGGUAAACUCCAUCUAAGGCUAAAUACUGACACGAGACCGAUAGC
Molecule: ribosomal RNA, 306 nt
Filed under: Lumbrineris latreilli
Lineage: Eukaryota; Metazoa; Annelida; Polychaeta; Eunicida; Lumbrineridae
Description: eukaryotic LSU rRNA
Rfam family: Eukaryotic large subunit ribosomal RNA
Source: RNAcentral